GGAUGAGUGUCCGAGCGGUCGAAGGAGACGGUCUUGAAAACCGUUGACGGGAAACUGUCCGCGAGUUCGAAUCUCGCCUCAUCCGCCC
This 88-nucleotide transfer RNA is filed under the name Bifidobacterium magnum. RNAcentral's name for it is "tRNA-Ser". It matches the Rfam family "tRNA". From Rfam's summary of the family: Transfer RNA (tRNA) molecules are approximately 80 nucleotides in length. Their secondary structure includes four short double-helical elements and three loops (D, anti-codon, and T loops). The record is from RNAcentral. Lineage: Bacteria; Bacillati; Actinomycetota; Actinomycetes; Bifidobacteriales; Bifidobacteriaceae.